AGUCUCUACUGUUGCUGACAGCACACUGGAUGUUUGACAGCUGGUAUAGUAUACUGGUAACUGGAUUAAACACAGGUUGCUGCUUCUUUGUCCCCUGUUGGAAGAUUCAAAAUAAUUGAUUGCAUACAGUAAGAAGCCAGGUUAAUGCCUCAGGACAAAGUGGAUGUUAAGCAGGGUAGAGUGCAGUCUUAGAGUUGCUGUGGAGGGGAGGAUGCUUGAAUUCCUACCUCAGAGGGAGUUAGAUUCCUGUAAUUUUGCUAAUAAAGGCUGCCAUCCUCAGAGGGUGGUAGAUGUGCUGGAGAUGAUUUGUGCCGUUUAUAUUUGGAGAGCCAUGACAACUGAACUAUCUUCAUCUUGCUUGCAGGCAGGGUAAGACUGAACUGUACUGUCCUCUGACUGUGAGGGUUAUUCUGCUAGAUGCUAAAAUGGAUUAGCACAGCACGUGCUGAACUGUCCUUCCUUUCCUCCGUCCUGCCCCAGACUGAGUUAGCCAUUGACAUGCUUUCAGCUCCACGUGCAUUGCUAGGACAGAACAGGGUCAAGGUUCCCACCCAGAUUUUAAUUACCAGGAGUGUAAAUGUGCAGGGAGUAGCACUCACCUCCCCUAACUGCUGUAAGAGAUGAGGAAAUGAGGUCUAAGUGUGUUGCUCCAGCUCACCCGUCAAUAGGAAUUGCUAAAGACAAUGUGAAACCAGAACGUGAGCAGCACGAGCUAGCAGGAACCCUUAAUGCCCUGUACUCCCCUUCCCUUUAUCACUGAGAAUAAAGCUUUACAGCGUGCAGUGGGAAAGAGUCAGAGAGCUUUAAUAAUUACUCAAGAAAUAGGAUAAAACCAUUCCGAUCUCAUUGCUUGUUACUUUCACUCCUGAAGAUGAAACAUGGCCUGUGGGAGCGCCGAGUACUCUUCCUAGUGCAAUUCUUUGCUGCUGGCAGGGAGGGUUUCAAAGGAGCUUGUCCACAUCCAGCCCUAAAGCCAGGCUUCUCAAAGAGAUUAUGUACAAAGCGAGAGAAUCCAGCCUGUGGCCUUUCUCUUUUGAGACAAAGGUAACGUAUGUACGGUCAUUUUUUAAAAAAAACUGUUAGCACAUUACAGUUAAAAUCUGUACAAAUUACUGCUUGUGAAAAUAAGCUGCUCAGUUCUUUCUGAAUGGUAAAUUCAAAGCAACAGAAGCAGCUGUGGUUCCCCCUUCCUGAAAGCUGUGAUAAAGGAGACAUCCCACAACAGUCUGUGGUAACGUUAACGGCUGGUUGCAUACA
Oxyura jamaicensis (ruddy duck) is the source of this 1257-nucleotide long non-coding RNA. RefSeq lists it as uncharacterized. Lineage: Eukaryota; Metazoa; Chordata; Aves; Anseriformes; Anatidae. The transcript has 3 exons. The record is from RefSeq and is a predicted model, not a curated record.